This 213-nucleotide ribosomal RNA is filed under the name Triticum aestivum (bread wheat). RNAcentral's name for it is "partial small subunit ribosomal RNA". The record is from RNAcentral. Lineage: Eukaryota; Viridiplantae; Streptophyta; Magnoliopsida; Poales; Poaceae.
AUGUCUAUCUCUAAAUAUAGAGGUGGAAUGGGGUUCAAGGAUUUACAGUUGUUUAAUGAUGCAAUGUUGGUCAAACAGGCCUGGAGAUUAUUGGAUAAACCAGAUAGCUUAUGUGCUAGGGUACUUCGAGGAAGAUACUUUCCAGAUGGGGAUUUUUUACAAGCUGGUUGUCCAAAGGGUGCCUCGACAACCUGGAAAGCUAUUUGUCAGGGG